This 141-nucleotide small nuclear RNA is filed under the name Rhodnius prolixus. RNAcentral's name for it is "U4 spliceosomal RNA". It matches the Rfam family "U4 spliceosomal RNA". From Rfam's summary of the family: U4 small nuclear RNA (U4 snRNA) is a component of the major U2-dependent spliceosome. The record is from Rfam by way of RNAcentral. Lineage: Eukaryota; Metazoa; Arthropoda; Insecta; Hemiptera; Reduviidae.
AACCUUGCGCAGUGGCAAUAUCGUAACCAAUGAAGGUCUCCUGAGGUGCGAUUAUUGCUAGUUGAAAACUUUUACCAAUACCCCGCCAUAAUACCGUGAAAUACCGGUGUUAUAGGCAAUUUUUGAAAGCUCCUGCGGGAG